Molecule: ribosomal RNA, 532 nt
Filed under: uncultured Actinomycetes bacterium
Lineage: Bacteria; Bacillati; Actinomycetota; Actinomycetes
Description: bacterial SSU rRNA
Rfam family: Bacterial small subunit ribosomal RNA
Source: RNAcentral
CGCAGCCCUGAUGCAGCAACGCCGCGNUGGGGGAUGAAGGCCUUCGGGUUGUAAACCCCUUUUAGCAGGGAAGAAGCGAAAGUGACGGUACCUGCAGAAAAAGCGCCGGCUAACUACGUGCCAGCAGCCGCGGUAAUACGUAGGGCGCAAGCGUUGUCCGGAAUUAUUGGGCGUAAAGAGCUCGUAGGCGGUUUGUCGCGUCUGCUGUGAAAGUCCGAGGCUCAACCUCGGAUCUGCAGUGGGUACGGGCAGACUAGAGUGUGGUAGGGGAGACUGGAAUUCCUGGUGUAGCGGUGGAAUGCGCAGAUAUCAGGAGGAACACCAAUGGCGAAGGCAGGUCUCUGGGCCAUAACUGACGCUGAGGAGCGAAAGCGUGGGGAGCGAACAGGAUUAGAUACCCUGGUAGUCCACGCCGUAAACGGUGGGCACUAGAUGUGGGGCUCUUUCCAUGAGUUCCGCGUCGCAGCUAACGCAUUAAGUGCCCCGCCUGGGGAGUACGGCCGCAAGGCUAAAACUCAAAGAANUUGACGGA